Molecule: transfer RNA, 70 nt
Filed under: Trionyx triunguis (African softshell turtle)
Lineage: Eukaryota; Metazoa; Chordata; Testudines; Trionychidae
Description: tRNA-Val
Source: RNAcentral
CAAAACAUAGCUUAAAUACAAAGCAUUCAGCUUACACCUGAAACAUACCCAAUCACAAGGGUUGUUUUGA